UGAGUAAAGCGGCGGACGGGUGAAUAUCGCGUAGGGUAACCUGCCUUUCAGAGGGGGAUAACGUCCGAAAGGACCGCUAAUACCGCGUACGUAUCCAGGGGCUCCGGCCCUUGGGUGGGAAGCUAGCUAGGUCGCAAGACCUGGCUGGCGCUGAAAGAGGGGCCUGCGUCGCAUCAGCUAGUUGGUGGGGUAACGGCCUACCAAGGCGAAGACGCGUAGCUGGUCUGAGAGGAUGAUCAGCCACACUGGGACUGAGACACGGCCCAGACUCCUACGGGAGGCAGCAGUGGGGAAUAUUGGACAAUGGCGCAAGCCUGAUCCAGCCACGCCGCGUGAGUGAUGAAGGCCUUCGGGUCGUAAAGCUCUGUGGGGAGGGACGAACCGCCGGCGGUGCAUAGCCGACGGCAUGACGGUACCUCCUUAGCAAGCACCGGCUAACUUCGUGCCAGCAGCCGCGGUAA
RNAcentral lists this ribosomal RNA (461 nucleotides) under uncultured delta proteobacterium. Its description in RNAcentral is "bacterial SSU rRNA". It matches the Rfam family "Bacterial small subunit ribosomal RNA", at positions 87 to 523 of the family's 1533-position model. Lineage: Bacteria; Deltaproteobacteria. The record is from RNAcentral.